AACGAACGCUGGCGGCAGGCCUAACACAUGCAAGUCGAGCGCCCCGCAAGGGGAGCGGCGGACGGGUGAGUAACGCGUGGGAACGUACCCCUUUCUACGGAAUAGCCUCGGGAAACUGGGAGUAAUACCGUAUAAGCCCUACGGGGGAAAGAUUUAUCGGGAAGGGAUCGGCCCGCGUUGGAUUAGGUAGUUGGUGGGGUAAUGGCCUACCAAGCCGACGAUCCAUAGCUGGUUUGAGAGGAUGAUCAGCCACACUGGGACUGAGACACGGCCCAGACUCCUACGGGAGGCAGCAGUGGGGAAUCUUAGACAAUGGGCGCAAGCCUGAUCUAGCCAUGCCGCGUGAGCGAUGAAGGCCUUAGGGUUGUAAAGCUCUUUCAGUGGGGAAGAUAAUGACUGUACCCACAGAAGAAGCCCCGGCUAACUACGUG
RNAcentral lists this ribosomal RNA (431 nucleotides) under uncultured bacterium. RNAcentral's name for it is "bacterial SSU rRNA". It matches the Rfam family "Bacterial small subunit ribosomal RNA", at positions 29 to 507 of the family's 1533-position model. The record is from RNAcentral.